CGGGUGAGUAACGCGUGGGUAACCUGCCUUAUACAGGGGGAUAACAGUCAGAAAUGGCUGCUAAUACCGCAUAAGCGCACAGAGCUGCAUGGCUCAGUGUGAAAAACUCCGGUGGUAUAAGAUGGACCCGCGUUGGAUUAGCUAGUUGGCGAGGUAACGGCCCACCAAGGCGACGAUCCAUAGCCGACCUGAGAGGGUGACCGGCCACAUUGGGACUGGGACACGGCCCAA
This 231-nucleotide ribosomal RNA is filed under the name uncultured bacterium. Its description in RNAcentral is "partial 16S ribosomal RNA". It matches the Rfam family "Bacterial small subunit ribosomal RNA", at positions 103 to 334 of the family's 1533-position model. The record is from RNAcentral.